CUCAGCGUGUGUGCGUGUGUGCGUGUGUUCAAGGGCUGGGGGCUCAAUUGUGAGAGGUGGCCCAGGGGCCGGUUAGAGACUGGGAAGGACGACAGAGGCAAGACACGCAGCGAGUGCUCUCGCGAGAGUUCACCGAGUUGAUAAAAUUAUUAAAACACAAAAUACACAUUUGCGUGAGGGGGAAAAAAUACCCGCUUGUCCGUCCUGUCCCUUCAGGCUGCGCAACGCUGGAGGGCGAUGGGAGCUCCACACAGGUGGGACGAGCCUAGCAGUGAUGCUGCCUGGAGUUAAAGGAGGCCAGGAGCACCAGAAGCUGGAGGAGGCCGGGGUGGAUUCUCGCCUGGAGGCUUCAGUGGGAGCACGAGCUCCCGACACUUCGGUUCCAUCUCUUGUUUAAAGGCACCCAGUUUCUCAUCAUUUGUUACAGCACCAUGGAAAACCCACACACAAGUGAAGCCCCGACCCACCUCCCAAGUGCCCAUCUGAGCACCCCUCGUGGACUCUGAGCAGGGGGUUGCCAUCACCAACUCCAAGUCUUGCAGCCCCUCUUCCCUUCAGUCUGGCUGCCACCUUCUUCAUUGCCCUGGAAAAAAAUAAUGAAGUUUCACCAUUUAAAGGGUUUCAGUGCAGCUUGCUAUGGGAACACUGGAGAGUAACACAAAUGGCCAAUUGUCCUAAUAGCCACCAUGGAUUGGAUGGAUGCUAACAACAGGCUCACAGUUCUCCUUCUGUUGCCUCCUUUUAUCCACAUGAGAAUCAAACAAGUAGGUGCUGCUGGUAUUACUGUAUUUUUCUCAUUUUAAAGAUCAGGAUGGGGAGGGUUGAGGAGGUUAAGGAAGUUGUUAGAAGUUACACUGAAGUUAAGAAAGGAAAAAGGACUUAGAAACUUAUUCUUCCAACUUUAGAACCACGGUCAGUGACCAAGGCCCUGCUUAGAACUUUCUGAAGGUUGCAGCUGGCCUUCUACCUGGAGUUUUGACUUCCUUUCCGAGAAAGGAACUUGAAUGGCAAUCACAAGAAAGUUGAGAACUUCUCUUUCAUAUUUUAA
RNAcentral lists this long non-coding RNA (1048 nucleotides) under Homo sapiens (human). RNAcentral describes it as "HSALNT0233994". The record is from RNAcentral. Lineage: Eukaryota; Metazoa; Chordata; Mammalia; Primates; Hominidae.